Molecule: long non-coding RNA, 532 nt
Organism: Symsagittifera roscoffensis
Lineage: Eukaryota; Metazoa; Xenacoelomorpha; Acoela; Convolutidae
Exons: 4
Source: RefSeq, a predicted model, not a curated record
AAACUCUGGAAAAGUUAGUGGUCGAAUUAAGUGGCACAACUAUUUAUUAAAGAAGAACAAGACUGCUAGUGAAGACCUCCUAAAUGGCACUAUGACGCCACCAACGACAUAGGCUUGAUCAAGUUGGACUCUCCCCUCAUGGAUCCGGCUUCCCUUAUCCCCCUCUGCAAUAGAAGACCUCCCCCCGGAGGAAUGUAUGGGAUGUGUGGUUUGGGUACUACUGAUCUGCGUUGCAAACAGAGUGCCGACGUGCUUCAAGAGACAAUUCUGCGGGAAAGAGUUUUGACUAUUUGGGACAUCAAUGAUGACGAGUACUUUAUGAGUGUAAUACAUAUGGAAAAUACAGUUAUGAACAGUUGCACAAAUAGGGGCGACAGUGGGUCCCCCCUCUUCCUAAUCAGCACCGACGGGUGUGGUCGGGCCCAGUGUCUGUACGGAAUAACAUCACACAGGACACGAAAAUCAGAAAUUAUGAAACGUGACUCAUCUUAUUUAGCCAAUAUGUAUUUUGUGAGCGUGCCGAGAUUUUAUA